UACGUAGGGGGCUAGCGUUGUCCGGAAUCAUUGGGCGUAAAGCGCGUGUAGGCGGCCUGGUAAGUCCGCUGUGAAAGUCGGGGGCUCAACCCUCGGAUGCCGGUGGAUACUGUCGGGCUCGAGUACGGAAGAGGCGAGUGGAAUUCCUGGUGUAGCGGUGAAAUGCGCAGAUAUCAGGAGGAACACCAAUUGUGAAGGCAGCUCGCUGGGACGUUACUGACGCUGAGACGCGAAAGCGUGGGGAGCAAACAGG
RNAcentral lists this ribosomal RNA (253 nucleotides) under uncultured bacterium. RNAcentral's name for it is "partial 16S ribosomal RNA". It matches the Rfam family "Bacterial small subunit ribosomal RNA", at positions 524 to 776 of the family's 1533-position model. The record is from RNAcentral.